CCGCACAAGCGGUGGAGCAUGUGGUUUAAUUCGAUGCAACGCGAAGAACCUUACCUACUCUUGACAUCCAGAGAACUUAGCAGAGAUGCUUUGGUGCCUUCGGGAACUCUGAGACAGGUGCUGCAUGGCUGUCGUCAGCUCGUGUUGUGAAAUGUUGGGUUAAGUCCCGCAACGAGCGCAACCCUUAUCCUUUGUUGCCAGCGGUCAGGCCGGGAACUCAAAGGAGACUGCCAGUGAUAAACUGGAGGAAGGUGGGGAUGACGUCAAGUCAUCAUGGCCCUUACGAGUAGGGCUACACACGUGCUACAAUGGCGCAUACAAAGAGAAGCGACCUCGCGAGAGCAAGCGGACCUCAUAAAGUGCGUCGUAGUCCGGAUUGGAGUCUGCAACUCGACUCCAUGAAGUCGGAAUCGCUAGUAAUCGUGGAUCAGAAUGCCACGGUGAAUACGUUCCCGGGCCUUGUACACACCGCCCGUCACACCAUGGGAGUGGGUUGCAAAAGAAGUAGGUAGCUUAACCUUCGGGAGGGCGCUUACCACUUUGUGAUUCAUGACUGGGG
Molecule: ribosomal RNA, 559 nt
Filed under: bacterium IRQ_20
Lineage: Bacteria
Description: bacterial SSU rRNA
Rfam family: Bacterial small subunit ribosomal RNA
Source: RNAcentral